RNAcentral lists this ribosomal RNA (486 nucleotides) under uncultured bacterium. Its description in RNAcentral is "partial 16S ribosomal RNA". It matches the Rfam family "Bacterial small subunit ribosomal RNA", at positions 30 to 507 of the family's 1533-position model. The record is from RNAcentral.
AUUGAACGCUGGCGGCAUGCCUUACACAUGCAAGUCGAACGGCAGCACGGGUGCUUGCACCUGGUGGCGAGUGGCGAACGGGUGAGUAAUACAUCGGAACAUGUCCUGUAGUGGGGGAUAGCCCGGCGAAAGCCGGAUUAAUACCGCAUACGAUCCACGGAUGAAAGCGGGGGACCUUCGGGCCUCGCGCUAUAGGGUUGGCCGAUGGCUGAUUAGCUAGUUGGUGGGGUAAAGGCCUACCAAGGCGACGAUCAGUAGCUGGUCUGAGAGGACGACCAGCCACACUGGAACUGAGACACGGCCCAGACUCCUACGGGAGGCAGCAGUGGGGAAUUUUGGACAAAGGGCGAAAGCCUGAUCCAGCAAUGCCGCGUGUGUGAAGAAGGCCUUCGGGUUGUAAAGCACUUUUGUCCGGAAAGAAAUCCUUGGCUCUAAUACAGUCGGGGGAUGACGGUACCGGAAGAAUAAGCACCGGCUAACUACGUG